CCUACGGGAGGCAGCAGUGGGGAAUAUUGGGCAAUGGGCGCAAGCCUGACCCAGCAACGCCGCGUGAAGGAAGAAGGCUCUCGGGUUGUAAACUUCUUUUAUCAGGGACGAAGCAAGUGCCGGUACUUGAGGAAAAAGCCACGGCUAACUACGUGCAAGAAGCCGCGGGAAUACGUAGGUGGCAAGCGUUACCCGGAUUUAAUGGGUGUAAAGGGCGUGUAGGCGGGUAAGCAAGUCAGAUGUGAAAACCAUGUGCUCAACCUGUGGCCUGCAUUUGAAACUGUUGUUCUUGAGUACUGGAGAGGCAGACGGAAUUCCUAGUGUAGCGGUGAAAUGCGUAGAUAUUAGGAGGAACACCAGUGGCGAAGGCGGUCUGCUGGACAGCAACUGACGCUGAGGCGCGAAAGCGUGGGGAGCAAACAGGAUUAGAUACCCUGGUAGUC
This 443-nucleotide ribosomal RNA is filed under the name uncultured bacterium. RNAcentral describes it as "partial 16S ribosomal RNA". It matches the Rfam family "Bacterial small subunit ribosomal RNA", at positions 338 to 795 of the family's 1533-position model. The record is from RNAcentral.